AUGAAAAUCUUGGCCUGGAACUGCCAGGGACUGGGGCGGCCCCGGACAGUUCAGGAGCUGACACGCCUUGUGCAUGUUCACUGCCCGGAGAUUGUGUUCCUCUCCGAAACUAGGCAAGGUAAGCAUUUUGUGGAGGGGGUGGGGCGUAGAAUUGGCUUCAGGCACAGUAUCAUUGUCUCUAUGAAAGGGAAGGGGGGAGGCCUAGCCCUCUUCUGGGAUGAUUCC
This 225-nucleotide ribosomal RNA is filed under the name Triticum aestivum (bread wheat). Its description in RNAcentral is "partial small subunit ribosomal RNA". Lineage: Eukaryota; Viridiplantae; Streptophyta; Magnoliopsida; Poales; Poaceae. The record is from RNAcentral.